Molecule: ribosomal RNA, 253 nt
Filed under: uncultured bacterium
Lineage: Bacteria
Description: partial 16S ribosomal RNA
Rfam family: Bacterial small subunit ribosomal RNA
Source: RNAcentral
UACGAAGGGGGCUAGCGUUGCUCGGAAUCACUGGGCGUAAAGCGCACGUAGGCGGCUUUCUAAGUCAGGGGUGAAAUCCUGGAGCUCAACUCCAGAACUGCCUUUGAUACUGGGAAGCUCGAGUCCGGGAGAGGUGAGUGGAACUCCGAGUGUAGAGGUGAAAUUCGUAGAUAUUCGGAAGAACACCAGUGGCGAAGGCGGCUCACUGGUCCGGUACUGACGCUGAUGUGCGAAAGCGUGGGGAGCAAACAGG